Molecule: ribosomal RNA, 142 nt
Filed under: Chlorociboria aeruginosa
Lineage: Eukaryota; Fungi; Ascomycota; Leotiomycetes; Helotiales; Chlorociboriaceae
Description: ITS2 ribosomal RNA
Source: RNAcentral
CAACCCUCAAGCUCUGCUUGGUCUUGGGCCUCGCGCUCGGCGGGCCUCAAACGCAGUGGCGGUGCUUCCAGGCUCUGAGCGUAGUACAUCUCCCGCUACAGCUGUCUGGAGGUUACCAGCCAGCAACCCCUAUUUCUCUAGG